RNAcentral lists this ribosomal RNA (2522 nucleotides) under Phyllopsora corallina. RNAcentral's name for it is "LSU rRNA". It matches the Rfam family "Bacterial large subunit ribosomal RNA". Lineage: Eukaryota; Fungi; Ascomycota; Lecanoromycetes; Lecanorales; Ramalinaceae. The record is from RNAcentral.
AAGUAUAUAAAGAAAUUUUUAUGGAACCAUAGCUAUUUGUCAGAGAGAGCUUUUUAUGCUUAACAAUAUUUUGAACUCUGUUAAUAAAUUAAUAUAAGUAAACGAAGUGAAUUGAAAUAUCUUAUUAGCUUCAGGAAAAUAAAUCAAAAGAGAUUCUUAAAGUAGUGUGAAUGAAAAAAGAAUUGUCUCAAAGUAAAAUGGAAAAUAUAUCUGUUUGAAUAUAAGGGGAACCUUCCUCUAAGACUAAAUAUGACAUAUAAGCAAUAGAAAUAGUACCGUGAGGGAAAUGGCAUAAAUAGAAAUUUUAUAAGCAGCUCUAAUAAUUAUUUAAUAUAAUGAUAAGAGCGUACCUUUUGCAUAAUGGGUCAGCAAGUUAAUGUUUGAUGCGAGCAGAGAUGCGUAGGUAAAGCGAUUAUCAUGUAACAAUAUAGUAUCAGAUGUUAGACCCGAAGCCCAGUGAUCUUACUAUGACCAGGAUUAUAAAAGUCCGAACGGGUUAUCGUUGUAUAGAUAUCCGAAGAGUUGUGGUAAGUAAGUGAAAGACAAUCCUGACUGGGAUAGCUGGUUUUCUGCGAAACCUAUAUAAGUAGGUAAUUUAAAUAAAAUAUUGGUAGGUACAGAAUUGUGAUCUCGUACAAUUUAUAUCAAGUUUUUUGUUGCAAAUGGCUUGGUGACUUUGUGGACAUUGGGGGGUCGUGAAGGCUCUAUCAGCGAGUAUUUGUUCUCGGAAGGGCCAUAUAUAAAUAUUGAAUAAUCAGACAUAAUACGAUAAGGUUAUAUGUCUAAAGGGAAACAGCCCAGAACAAGAGUUAAUAAGGUUCCAAAAUUACUGUUAAAUGAAAUUAAGGAAGUAUUUUUCCUAAACGGCCAGGUAAUAGGCUUAGAAGCGGCCAUUUUUUGAAGAUCUCGUAACAGAGCACUGGUUUUAUAGACAAUAAGGUUAAAAGCACCUAAGAUUUAACGGAUCUAAACAGUAUACCGAGACCUUGUACACAAGUACAAGUAUAUAUAUUAUACUUGUACUUGUGUGGUAGCAGAACGUUGGGUAUAUUACUGAAUAUUUCUUCGAUUUAUUACAGGUUGAUGUUUACCUUGUUUUUAUUAUAAUAAAAACAAGAUGAGCCGCUAAAAGAUCCCAAGUGAUAAUGCUGACAUGAGUAACGAUAAAGGAAGAAAGCGAAUAUUAUGCCGUAUUCCUUCGCCUUAAGCUUAUGGUAUUUAUUAAAGUCACGGCCUCUAAGUUUAAAUUACCGUACCUAUAUACUAACGCAAGUAAGCAAGUAGAGAAUACGAAGGCGUUCGAGUGAUUAAUCAUUAAGGAACUCGGCAAAUUGACUCUCGUAACUUCGGGAUAAGGUGGGCCAUCCCUAUUGAUUAAUAUCAAGUCAGGGAGAGGAGGCACGGAAUAGUGUUGUACGACUGUUUAAUUAAAACAAAGCACGCUGCAAAGAAAUGAAUUCUAAGUAUUGGGUGUGAUCUCUGCCCAAUGACGGCUGGUUAUCGGAUUUGCUUAGUUGACUAACGAAGCUAGGUUUCGAAGGAACCCCCGUUCAAUGGCGGCCUUACAGAUGAGGGUCCUAAGGUAGCGGAAUACCCUGGCCGUUAAAUGCGGUCUUGCAUGAAUGAUGUAACGAUACAACAGCUGUCUCAAUGAUUAGCUCGGUGAAAUUGGAAUAACUGUGCAGAUACAGUUUACCUCUAGUUAGACGAGAAGACCCUAUGCAGCUUUACUGUUGCUAGUUAUUGAAUGUGAUAUAAUGAGUUGUAGUGUAUAAGGUAAUUGCUAUGAUAAAAUUGAAACGCCUUUACUUCAUUUAUCAUGUUAUAUAACAAUUGCUAGGUGGCAGUUUAUGCGGGGCACAGAUCCCAUAAAAAGUACCUGGGAGUAUCCAAAUUCACUUUUGUAAAAUUGCAAUUUGCAAUCAAAUAUGGUUUAUUAUAGCAUUUAUGUUAUAAUAAGUGAUAUUUUUUUUUAAUUUGAAGUUGGCCUUAUUGUAACACCUUAGGUGUUUUAUUGCUAAUUCAGUUAUGUAUUCAUUUAAGUUGGAGUUUAUUUUUUAUUUAAGUAGGUUUUUAGCUAUAUAAAAAAAUAGAUGUAAAUAAUGAUAAUUAAUUUACUUAUAAAGUUUAACGGCUUAAUCUUGCUUUACUGUUUGACUUACACGUCUUUCAGUCGCGUAAGCGGGGCAUAUGAUCACGAGACGCAUAAAGGAAAGGUCUUGGAUUAUUGAAAAAGCUACGCUAGGGAUAACAGGCUAAUUGCGCCAGAGAGUUCAAAUUGAGUGCGCAGUUUGGCACCUCGAUGUCGGCUUAGCUCAUCCACAUGAAUGUAGGAGUCAUGAAGGGUACGACUGUUCGUCGAUUAAAGAGCUACACGAGCUGGGUUAAAUACGUCGUGAGACAGUAUGGUUUCUAUCUUCUAGGGGAAAUUAGAAUAAAAUAAGGAUAGCCCCUUGUACGAAAGGAGUUGGGUAUAUUAACCUAUGGUUUACCUGCUGUUUAUCUGCCUAUAUUAAUAUGGU